AACGAACGCUGGCGGCAGGCUUAACACAUGCAAGUCGAGCGCCCCGCAAGGGGCUCGGCCGACGGGUGUGUAACGCGUGGGAACGUACCCCUUUGUUCGGAACAACUCCGGGAAACUGGAGCUAUUACCGGAUAAGCCCUAUCGGGGAAAGAUUUAUCGCCGAAGGGUCGGCCCGCGUCUGAUUAGCUAGUUGGUGUGGUAACGGCUCACCAAGGCGACGAUCAGUAGCUGGUCUGAGAGGAUGAUCAGCCACACUGGGACUGAGACACGGCCCAGACUCCUACGGGAGGCAGCAGUGGGGAAUAUUGGACAAUGGGCGCAAGCCUGAUCCAGCCAUGCCGCGUGAGUGAUGAAGGCCUUAGGGUUGUAAAGCUCUUUUGUCCGGGAAGAUAAUGACUGUACCGGAAGAAUAAGCCCCGGCUAACUUCGUG
This 431-nucleotide ribosomal RNA is filed under the name uncultured bacterium. Its description in RNAcentral is "partial 16S ribosomal RNA". It matches the Rfam family "Bacterial small subunit ribosomal RNA", at positions 29 to 507 of the family's 1533-position model. The record is from RNAcentral.